UUUUGAAGAUCAAAGGAGAUAGAAAAUGAGAAACUGCUUAGCAAAAUAUGAAAUGCAAACGAUAUCUGCAAUAGUAUCAGGCUCUUAGCUCGCCGUGACAUGGCCCAGCCUCAGCACAUGACAGCAUCGCUCCAGGUGGUCACAAGGAUGAGAAAACACAGAUAGGAAUGAUCAACAUUGAAAAGAGAGGCAAAAAGAAUAACAAUCUGCUGAUGGCUGUGGUGCCAGGAUGAACACAAAUUCUUCCUUGGGCAUAGCUGAGAUGUGCUGGAUAUCCAAAGAGAUCAACCCCUGCAGGAAGACAACAGUGAAAGACACACUCUGGCUGCUGCACGGUAAAGCCGGACCCCCAUGGGGGACAUGGAUGAAUCUGGAAAACAUCAUCCUCAGCAAACUGACACAAGAACAGAAAAUGAAACACCGCAUAUUCUCACUCAUAGGUGGGUGAUGAAAAAUGAGAACACAUGGACACAGAAAGGGGAGUACUAAACACUGGGGUCUAUUGGGGGGAGAAGGGGAGGGCCAGUGGGAGGGGGAGGUGGGCCUGGGGAGAAAAGCCAAAUGUGGGUGAAGGGGAGAAGAAAAGAAAGCACACUGCCAUGUGUGUACCUACGCAACUGUCUUGCAUGCUCUGCUCAUGUACCCCAAAACCUAUAAUCCAAUAAAAAAUUAAAAAAAAAAAAAAAAAAGAAACUGCUAAACUGUUUUUCAAAAUGGCUAGAAUAUGUUGCAUUCUCACCUGCCAUGUAUGA
RNAcentral lists this long non-coding RNA (752 nucleotides) under Callithrix jacchus (white-tufted-ear marmoset). RNAcentral describes it as "lncRNA (ENSCJAG00000072879.1)". Lineage: Eukaryota; Metazoa; Chordata; Mammalia; Primates; Cebidae. The record is from RNAcentral.